This 1524-nucleotide long non-coding RNA is filed under the name Panax ginseng (ginseng). RNAcentral's name for it is "long non-coding RNA (PGIN_LNC001637)". Lineage: Eukaryota; Viridiplantae; Streptophyta; Magnoliopsida; Apiales; Araliaceae. The record is from RNAcentral.
AGUUAGCAAGUUGGUUGACCCCUAGAGUGCCUAAGUUAACUGCUAGGAGGCUAAGUCUCUACAAGAGCCAAGUGUGUAAGGCAGCAAUAGAGGGCAGAUAGGGGCCAAGUCAGGGGUCCUUAGAUAUGUAAGAUCGUGAUGAUUAGCUAGGGAGAACUCAGUAUAUAGCUGGCUUCUCAAAACACCCAAGAGAGAGCAGUUGUUCAAAGAAAUCAGUUGGGAGAAAGAGAGGUCAGGAAUUGAAGAGAAAAGGGAAGAAAACUAAACUAAAACCUUCUAUCCCACUCCUUCCUUGCUCAGCCUCACCCGCCCUCCUAUAGCAAAUUCCAGUCUAUUCGGGUAUAAGCAAGUGUAAAGUAAUUAAUUUGCUUUUCGUUUUCUCGUUUUGAUUAGCUAUGAAUGUAAAUGUUAAGCAAAAUGAGUUGGGUUAGUUUUAAAAUAAUAAUAGUGAGUAUAUGGGCCGACUCUAGUUAUGAUUAAUUAACUGAAUUAUUCCAUGAUCAAAAGAAGGGGAUUUCAAAAGAAUUGAAUUCGAACAAGAAUGGAUAAACUAGUUAGUUUACUAAUUAUUUGAUUUUGUUUAACUUUGAUUAUGUAUUUGACUGCUAUGUGGCUGGGUUAGAGUAAGGAGAUAGGUUAGUUGUGUGGAGGAAUAAGGAGGCUAAAAUGGGAUUGUAGAACAAAUCAAUAGUUAUGAAAAGGGUGUCGGAAAACUGAGCACAUAAGGUGCUUGUUAAAAUGCUCCAAGUAACUGUUUUGAUUAAAAACCUAAAAUUUGAUGGAACUAAAGCUUGAGUUAUGUAUAUACACCUUGUACGUGGAUAAGUAAAGUGUUGUAACAUAUUAAAUGGAACAAAGGGCAAUUUUAAAGCUAAAACUAAAAAUGGGAUUUUUGGUAGGUCAAGCUAUUUUGGCAAACUGUUUUGGGCAAUUUAAUGAAUUUUAUUCGGAGGUCUAAUGUUUUCUUUUAGUUGGCUGAUAUGGCAGCUACACCAUACCAAAAGUUGGGCCUAAAUAUUAAAAAAAAUAUAGUAAAUGGAUGGCUGAGUUGUGUAGGAGCUGUUAAGGCUGCUGCAGGCAGCAGCAGCCAGCGCCCAGCGCUGUGCUGCGUUGCGCUGCAGAGCCAAGCAAGCAGUUUUGGUUCCUACAUGCUAUAUAGUUGCUGCAGUUUUUGUUUGGGUAAGUAUAAUAUGCGAGUAUAUUAACUACUAUGAUCAAAUUCCUUUGCUAAUAAAUUAAUGCAUUAGAAGUUAAUGUGUUGCAGGAGGAGGGGGGGUCGAGGACUGCUGCAGCUAAGUAUCCUUGUUGGUUUUCUAGUUUAGCAAUUGCUUUAAGUUUCUUGUAAACUAAAUUAAUAAAUAAAGAUUUAGUAAAGCAUGUGCUUGGUUUAUUUAACAUAUGUGAUAACAAUUAAAGUGUUUUAGCAUGUUAAACUUAAACAAAGUGUACUCUAGAUGAGAUUUUAACCUGUUAAGGCAAUUGUGGGUACCGUUUGGGCAGUGUAUUAUGACUAAAAUAGAGGAG